GUGAGCUAAACGAACCGGCUGGACACACGGUCGACGUGGGAACGAGAUUUAAGUGCUGCUUUCAAGGCGAGAGACUGAGGGGCUUCUGGACCGCCGUGGUGCACAUGUGCAUGAGUCACACAUCCGCAAACACGCACAAGCAAGACGCAGCCACAAACUCGAGGCACUUACCGAGCCAGUGUUCGCCGGUGAUCUUCCCGAAUCCCUCG
This is a long non-coding RNA of Acanthopagrus latus (yellowfin seabream), 209 nucleotides long. RefSeq lists it as uncharacterized. The transcript has 3 exons. NCBI's taxonomy places the organism in Eukaryota, Metazoa, Chordata, Actinopteri, Spariformes, Sparidae. The record is from RefSeq and is a predicted model, not a curated record.